Dipodomys ordii (Ord's kangaroo rat) is the source of this 65-nucleotide non-coding RNA. Lineage: Eukaryota; Metazoa; Chordata; Mammalia; Rodentia; Heteromyidae. The record is from Rfam.
GGUGGCUCAGUGGUAGAGUGCUUGCCUUGCAUGCAUGAGGCCGUGGGUUCAAUUCCUCAGCACCA